UCUGUGGAUGGAGUGGAGCUCAUAGUGGGAGGUGGAGACCACAGCCUCCAAACUGGGGAGGUUUGCAUCAAGUGGGCUGCUCUUUUAGACACAAGUCACUUCACAGUCACUGCACAGCAGGCCAAAGCAAGCCCUCCUCACGGAAAGAUGAGCCAGCCCAGAAAGUUCUCCACUCAGCCGCUGUGAUGUGUGGAAUGCUGGAGGUGCCCACAUGGUACGUGCCCAAAAUGGCAGCACACUGACACAUCAGCUGUGGGGAAGGCUGAGCUGGAGGAAGGGCCUGGGAGGAGCAGAUCACAAGCAUCAUGCUGUGUAGGUGACUGGACACUGCUCUGGAGGGCUGGAGAGGGGCCAGAUUCCAGUGGGAAGCAGGCAGAGGGCAAAGCCUAAUCUACUGAAGCAUACCUGCUGGCACUCUGCUUUUGCCCUCCUUCUUCUGCCCUGCUGACAUGGUAGCAUGGAAGGAAUUUGCAUAAUACAAUCACGGUUUCACAAUCCACAAAAGAAAACCUGAGUGAUAGCAAACUUUGUGACUCAUUUUUCUUGUAAACACUUUGUAUUUAUUAUCUUAGUGAGAAUUCAAGACAUAUAUGCAUGAGGCAUACAGCAACACAUCUGGCACGCAUCCAGAACAGGCCUUAAGGAAAACAAACUCAUGUUGAUAAAGUCAUAAAGCAGAUCCUUUGCAGAAGUAAAAAAAGAAAUCUAGGGUGGACAUCAGCAAGUGCUUGGUCAUAUACUGGCACUGACCUCUUGCAUCUGUGCCUUUUUCCUGAGCUCCUGUUAAACACUGCCAUUCUUAACAAUGCACAGAAAAACCUAAAACAUUUGAAGAAAAAGCAAAUAGUCUUUGCAUAACUAGGCAGACAAAUACUGUGCUAACAGUAAACUUGGAUAUCCCCAUGAAAAUGCAUUUAUGAGUAUACUUUUUUUGGUAAUAUUUAUAUGUGCUACAGCCUGAAGAACAGGGUGGGUUCUACAAAUCCACACCCCGUUUCCUGUUGACUUUGAAAGCAGCAUUCAUUGAACAGAACAGUUUUAUUCACAUACUUUUCAGCUACUAAUGUGAAUUCUUCUGAGAGUUCCCGACAGGCAUGGUCAUUGUUCAGUGUCCUUGAUGAAGAUUCCAAUACUCCACCAAGCACAGGAUAGACAACAGCAACCCUUCUUAUGAAGCUGGAGAUGUCUUUGAUGAAGUUUUGCCCAGCUGGAUGCAGUGCUAUCCUGGGAGCUGGUGUUCUGCUGGUGUGAAACUCUUUGCCUUUAUUUUUUAAUACCCGAAAAACUGACCUAUGUACAUGUCAGAAAAAUGCACUGCUUUGCAGUAUAAGAUAAAUAACAGCUAUUUUUGAAAUACUGUGUUCUCCCCAAAAAGGUACUGGCUAGCUUAGAGGGGAAGGGAACCAUGCAUGUGGGUCAAGCCAACAGCAAUGCUCCCUGUAACACCACUGGGAUGGAUGGGGUUAAGUCUUCCAUGUGGAAAGAAGGCUAAGUCAGUCAGCUUCUGCUCAGUGACAGAAGUCAGUGUCAAUACAUAACAGCCCCUGCACAGGCUGUGAGAGUGACCAGAGUUACAUAAUGACAAUUUUGCAAAGGCAGAUUAAGAAGAUAAAACAGAAAAAUAAAUUAUAAAUACAAACAAGAAUUCACCACAAGACAGGAGAAGACAUAAUUUGAACAGACACAAAUUACAAAGUGUAACUAUACAGCCUUAAAAAUGCAAAUGUGCUUAUGUACAAGAGUAGUUAAGAGAAGGAACUCUCACCAGUGACCUUAGAGGUAGCUAUGAAACAGCAUCAGCCUUUUUCUUGCUAUCUUGGACCCAUGAAAAAUACUGUUUAGGAUGGAGCCUGACAUGAAUUGACCAGCAAAGUUACUGUUUGCCUUCACAGCAACUAACAUGUUUAAUUCAGCUCCUCCAAAGCCAGCCAAAGGUAAUAUCCCCUCAGUGAGAUGGGUCAUCCCCAUGUAACCAGCCACUGGAUGUGCUGCCACAGCUCCAUUAUUCUGGAACUGAAAUGAGGCCAUGAAAUGAAAUGAAAUGGAAAGAAAGUACAAGACACACACAGAGGAGAAGAAGGGGCUGACUUUUUCUGCCUUUUCUGAACAGGAGAAAAAAGCCUCCCAGGAGAUGGGAAGUCCCCUGCAGCUGCUCUGCAGACAAGCCCCAGGAGCCUUAGGCAUGAAGGGCUGCAAGAAAAAAUGUGUUGGUGGCAAUGACCUUGCAUAGAAAUGGAAGGAAGCUUGUCCCUUCCUGUCAGAAAGGAGUCCCUUUGGGCUCCCAGUGCUUUCUCUGUGAGUGAGAGCAGCCCCCGCAGAAAAGGGGGAGGUGCUGGAAGUGGUUGGACAGGGUGGUCAGAGGCAGAGGAGUGCUGUCCUCCCUGAGUUCCUGUUACCAUGCUGACCCAGCCAUUGGAUCCAUCCACAUCUGGCUUCAGGAGAGCCCUGCUAUGGGGGAGCAGCUCCAUGUAACACCAUCAGCUGCAGAUCAUAAUCCCCUCUUUGCUAAGUGAACCCCACAUUUGAGAUCCUGCUUCGUGUUUUUUCCAGGUGACCUCAGGGAACGCAAAAUCAGCACAGAGCUUAUUUUUCAUAUCCAUGCUGGCUGUGAACAUGGGGACAAACUUCUGCCAUGCAUCCAUAACUUUGUGCUGUGGGAGCUGUGUCUCCCCACAGCACACACACUUGUGGCUGUGGUUGUGCUGCUGAGGGGUGUUGGUUACUGGUGUGAGAGGGAAAGCUGUGAGGGUGACCUUUGGCAUUAAGAGUUAAGGCAAACAAAAAAGUGAGAAAUAACAAGUCUGCCUUCAAGGGCAAGGACACUGUGUUCUUCCUCACCAGAGACCUCUCUGCAGAUGCACCGACUGACUCCAAAGAGAAUAAAGGAGAAGUAAAUAGGGGAAACAGAAAAAAGAGGGUUGCACUUAACAACAAACUAUUUUUUGUACUUUACAACCUGUUUCUACUCUCUGAAGCCUAAGUGCUAUGGGAAAGACCUAUAUCAGCUGCUCCAUGCCUCCCUCAAGGGUGUGGGUACUGUAUGUGUGCCCUGUGCCCCUCAGCAGGGCUGUCACCAUUCCCACCUUUUCCACAUGUGAGGAGUGGAGGAGUGUGGAUGCCCAGAAGGAGAAAACAGAAGGGGGACAGUCUGACCAAGAGUGGGGGUUGUGUCCCAUAGGCACAGGUGUAGGAGCUGACUUCACGUGACAGCAUCUUGGUUUGCAUCCUGUUUUGUGGUCAUGAUGCCAUCCGCCCUGCCUAUUUCAUCAUCUUGUGGUGGGCUAUGGUGAGCAACUGCAGAAAAGUGCACACAGGCUGUGAAUCUGGAAGGAGCUCUCAAUCUGCAAAGACACAGGAAGUCAGGGUUUGUUUUGUUGUUUCUUUUUUGUUUUAAGGUUUUCUGGUUUGUCAAAUUUUUUUUAAUUUUUUGUUUUGUUUGGGUUUUUUUUUUUUGUUUUUGUUUUUUUGUUUGUUCGUUUUGUGUGUGGGUUUUCUCGGGUUUUUUUGUUUCUUUAUUCUGUGUGCUGUUUUGGUUUUAAAACAAGGCAAUUUAAUUGUCAGGUGUUUUAAGGUGUCCAGUGGGGGAGAAACUGCUGUGGUUAUGGCAGAGCAUGGUGAUGGAAAGGGAGAGGUGAGGGAAAUUCUGUGCUGAGGAGGAGACAGAGGACCUCAGGGAAGGGGUGAGAGGUGGAGAAGCCUCCCUGAAGUCCCAGGGUGUGGGACCAGUUGGUCUCAGGACUAGCAAUGUAAUCAUUGCACCCUGAGUUGCAUGUUCCUGCCCAGCAGAGGCCACAUGAAGCAGAAAUCACAGUGUGUGUAGCAAUGGUGGCAUCUGGGUCUCCACCCAGGAGUUCACAGGCUCACAGAACUGCAGAUCUGUAUAAUAAAAUUGGCAGUGAUAGUGUCAAGUCUAAAAACCCAGAAGGCUCAGAUGUGAAAUAGCCACAGAAGUCUGAAUGCUCAGUCGAAUUAAUAACGUAAACUUUCAGUUUUGGCUAAGGGCUGACUCACUACGAAAACCACCUUUUUUUUGUGGUAUCUCAGUGAUUGUCAAAAAUUGGAAAAUUACAUCAUCCAUCAAAACAACAAGUAAAAUACCUUGUCAGGCUUUUAAAACCUCAGUUAAAAAUGUCUUCACAUUGUACAUGUGAAAACGGACUCACAAGAGCCAUCAGUCAAUGACCCAUUGCAGUUCUGGGUAGCACAGAGAAUCUCUAGAAACCCUCUUUGUAAAUUAAUCCCCCAAAUGAUGAAGCAAUAAGCAAUGCACUGAAUCUAGUAUUGGCAUCUAUAAAAAUCAUUACAUCUAUCCAUGGCAUUCUCCACAGUGCCUGUUUCUGAUUUUCUUACUUCAGUUUUUUCUUUUCUUUUUUUAGCUAUUUUUUAGAAUUGUAAUGUGUUUUGAGCAGCAGUUCUGGGUUUUGAACAGUAGUUUGACUCUUCCUUCUGAAUGAUAUCUUAACAACCAAGAGCAUCCAAAAAUUAAAGCAAAAAAUUGCAUUUAAGCAUUUCUGGUAAACAGUAACCAUACUGAUCUUCAAAUUUUUUUUGUUGUUCAAUUUUUUUUUGUUGUUAUUUUUGGUCUAGCUAUCCUAGGUUGUAAGAUGUUUGAGGUGAUAGUUAUUGGUUCAUGACACCAAAUUGACAUUACUAUUAUUAUUAUUAUUAUUAUUAUUAUCAUUGCUGUUGUUGACUUCAUUACUGUGUGAAAAAUUACACUACUAAUUUACAGAUAAUUUAUAACAUGAUUUUUGGAAAUGUGAGGUAUACAUGUAGUUGGGGCAUUCACCAAAAUUAUACAUUUCAGCUGACACUUACAAGAACUUAAAGGAAGAUGGCAUUUUUUCAUAGAUGCAUAGGCAAAAUGACCUGCAGGCUGAAAACGCAUAAGGCACAGCUUUCCCCCUAAAACCAGAGCAACAGUAUUGCUUCUCUUUCAUUAGUACAGGGUUCAUUACUAGAGACAGAUUGCAAACAUCCUUAACUGUGAUUUCCUAUAUUCAUUCUAAUAUGACCCCACCUGGAGUACUGCAUCCAGCUUUGGGACCCCCACCACAAUAAGGACAUGGACCUGUUGGAACAGUCCAGAGGAGGUCAGGAAGAUGACCCUGUGAAAACAGUUUGAGAGAGUUUGGGUUCUUCACCCUGGAAAAAAGAAGUCUCUGGGGAGAUUUUCUACCACCUUCCAGGACCUAAAUGGACUACAAGAGAGGUGGACAGGGACUUUUUACAAGGCCAUGUAGUGAUAAGACAAGGGAUAACGCCUUUAAACUGAAAGAAAAUAGGUUAGAGUAGACAUUAGAAAGAAAUUCUUUCUGUGAGGGUGGUGAGGCACUGGCAGAGGGUGCUGAGAGAAACUGUGGGUGCCCCAUCCUGGGUGGUGUUCAAGGCAAGGCUGGAUGGGCUCUGAGCAACCUCAUGAAAGUUGUCCCUGCCAAUGGCAGGGGGUUUGGAAUGAGACAAUCUCUAAAGUCCCUUCCAACCCAAAGCAUGAUAUAUGAUUCUCUGAUUUCAUUUUUCAAUUAUUUUAAUAUCAUCCCAACAGAAUAGGACCCUAUAAAUUCAGCAGGUUGUAAACCUAGUAUUUGGGAAAAAUGUGAACUGAGAAAUGGAGCCAUUGGCAGCCAGGAAAUGUGGUCUGUUCAGUGACCUCCCAUGAUGCCAAGACCUUGGUGGUUAAAGACUCUCCCAGGAGCAGAACAUGGUGUGCUGUCUACAGAGUAAGAAAAUGGGCGAGUUUCAUAAAAGCAGAACCUCUAGGCAUUGCAGUUGUGGCACAAAAAGGUAUUUUCUACCUGCUAUAUUCUUUUUGUCUACUUAGGUCUCAUCCACAGUCCCAGGGUUUUGGUACUAAGGCAUGUUUCAGAGCAGAGUUUUUUGGAGGGAGUGCUCUCAGCCAUGAAGAGAAAGACCUUCUCGUGCCCUUCUGUUAAUAGCUAAGGUCAUUCCAGCUGAAUGCAUCUGGCUGCUCUUCCAUCCCCACCAACUACCAGGGUAUGGUCACACCCAGUGCAAGGCCUUCAGCACUGUGUCUCACAAUAUCCUUGUAAGCAAACUCAGGCAGUGUGGACUGGACGAGUGGGCAGUGACAUGGAUUGAAAACUGGCUGAGUGGCAGAUCCCAAAGGAUAAUCAGUGGCACAGGGUCUAGUUGGAGGCCUGUCACUAGUGGUGUCACCCAAGGGUCAGUGCUGGGCCCAGUAUUGUUUACUUUACUCCUCAGCAACCUGGCGGAAGGGGCAGAGGCCUGCUCAGGGUGUUCACUGAUGACACAAAGCUGAGGAGGGGUCUGCAGCCCUUCAGAGGGACCUGGAGAGAUGGGCAGACAAGAAUUGUCUGAAGUUCAACAAAGGCAGGUGCAGCGUCCUGCACCUGGGGAGGAACAGCCCCUGGCACAGGCUGGGCCCAACCUGCUGGAAAGCAGGACAAGGACCUGGGGGUCACGGUGGACAACAAGCUGUCCGUGAGCCAGCAGUGCCCUUGAGGCCAGGAGGGCCAGUGGUGUCCUGGGAUGCAUUGGGAAGAGCUUUGUCAGCAGAUCGAGGGAGGAGAUCCUGCCCUUCUGCUCAGGCCAGCUGGUAAAGCAAAACCUGUAGGAGAUGCACAGAGCUCAGUGCAAUAUCAGGAAGCUGAUACCAAAGUUUUCCCAGGCUAGUUCCCAGGAAAGGGCUGUUCUGUGUUCUUGGAGUGGAGACAAAGACCUGUUCUGCAGAAGGGAAACACCGGAAACAGAAACCCAAGGAUUACAAAAAUCCUGUGAAAAUGAAGGCUUUGCAGGAGACAGUUCAGAUGAAGUCUGUAAAACCUAGAAAACAGAUGUUGGUUCUGGGGCCCAAACUAACAAGGCAUGAGGUGCUCUGCUGCUGGAGGUCCUUAUACAGAUCAUUUGCCUUCAGGAGGUGGGACUUUGAGAAACACUGAAUCUGAAAGCUGAAUUCACUAAAGCUGAAUAAGAAACUGUGAAAGUUGGAAACACUGAGGGAGACCAUUCUGGGAAGUUCUUUAAGUUUCAUCCCCUAGAUGUAUAACUGAUUAAUCUACAGUCUUCACUUUAACAGUUUGACUGUAAUGGUUCCUCAUAUGAUCAACUCAUAAACAGUUAAGAUGUCA
Molecule: long non-coding RNA, 7109 nt
Organism: Passer domesticus (house sparrow)
Lineage: Eukaryota; Metazoa; Chordata; Aves; Passeriformes; Passeridae
Exons: 7
Source: RefSeq, a predicted model, not a curated record